UACGGAGGGAGCUAGCGUUGUUCGGAAUUACUGGGCGUAAAGCGCGCGUAGGCGGCGAACCAAGUCAGGGGUGAAAUCCCGGGGCUCAACCCCGGAACUGCCUUUGAAACUAGUUUGCUAGAAUCUUGGAGAGGUCAGUGGAAUUCCGAGUGUAGAGGUGAAAUUCGUAGAUAUUCGGAAGAACACCAGUGGCGAGGGCGACUGACUGGACAAGUAUUGACGCUGAGGUGCGAAAGCGUGGGGAGCAAACAGG
This 253-nucleotide ribosomal RNA is filed under the name uncultured bacterium. RNAcentral's name for it is "partial 16S ribosomal RNA". It matches the Rfam family "Bacterial small subunit ribosomal RNA", at positions 524 to 776 of the family's 1533-position model. The record is from RNAcentral.